AACGCUAGCUACAGGCUUAACACAUGCAAGUCGAGGGGCAGCAUGAUUGAAGCUUGCUUCAAUUGAUGGCGACCGGCGCACGGGUGAGUAACGCGUAUCCAACCUUCCGUACACUCAGGAAUAGCCUUUCGAAAGAAAGAUUAAUACCUGAUGGUAUGAUGAGAUUGCAUGAAAUCAUCAUUAAAGAUUUAUCGGUAAGCGAUGGGGAUGCGUUCCAUUAGAUAGUAGGCGGGGUAACGGCCCACCUAGUCAACGAUGGAUAGGGGUUCUGAGAGGAAGGUCCCCCACAUUGGAACUGAGACACGGUCCAAACUCCUACGGGAGGCAGCAGUGAGGAAUAUUGGUCAAUGGACGAGAGUCUGAACCAGCCAAGUAGCGUGAAGGAUGAAGGUCCUACGGAUUGUAAACUUCUUUUAUAAGGGAAUAAAACCUCCCACGUGUGGGAGCUUGUAUGUACCUUAUGAAUAAGCAUCGGCUAACUCCGUGCCAGCAGCCGCGGUAAUACGGAGGAUGCGAGCGUUAUCCGGAUUUAUUGGGUUUAAAGGGAGCGCAGACGGGUCGUUAAGUCAGCUGUGAAAGUUUGGGGCUCAACCUUAAAAUUGCAGUUGAUACUGGCGUCCUUGAGUGCGGUUGAGGUGUGCGGAAUUCGUGGUGUAGCGGUGAAAUGCUUAGAUAUCACGAAGAACUCCGAUUG
Molecule: ribosomal RNA, 694 nt
Filed under: uncultured bacterium
Lineage: Bacteria
Description: bacterial SSU rRNA
Rfam family: Bacterial small subunit ribosomal RNA
Source: RNAcentral